Non-coding RNA from Peromyscus leucopus (white-footed mouse), 538 nucleotides. Lineage: Eukaryota; Metazoa; Chordata; Mammalia; Rodentia; Cricetidae. The record is from the annotation of a RefSeq genome assembly.
GCUCUGCAUUCACAGAUCCUCCCAUUCUGUGAUCAUUAUUGAGCCCAGAACAUCUGACAUGGAGUUGAGACUGAGCUGGGUUUUCCUCAUUGUCCUUUUAAAAGGUAUCCAGUGUGAGGUGCAGCUUGUGGAGUCAGGGGGAGGCCUGGUGCAGCCGGGGAGUUUCCUAAAGCUCUCCUGUUCAGCCUCUGGAUUCACUGUCAGUGCUGCCUGGAUGAACUGGGUCCGCCAGGCUCCAGGGAAGGGGAUGGAGUGGGUUGGCACAAUUAAACACAGACCAGAUAAUUAUGCAGCAUCCUAUGCGGAUUCUGUGAAAGGCAGAUUCACCAUCUCAAGAGACGAUUCCAAAAGCAGCAUCUACCUGCAAAUGAACAGCUUAAAACCCGAAGACACGGCCAUUUAUUACUGUACUGGACAUGGCACAGUGAGAGAUCUUCAGACAAAAAAAUCUUCCUGCAGAAGUGCUCAGAACCAGCAGGGGGCGCAGAGCGCACAUGGAAAACAAGCACAUUGCAGAAACAGGUGCAGACAUAAUUGA